UCCCCCCCCCCCCAGCUAUCCCUAAUAAUCCCCUUAUUGUUUUUCUAUACUAUGUCUAUUUGUAAAUAUUUUAUUAUCUUAUACUCUUAUGUAUGUUUAUUUUUAUUAGUGAUUCUUUUUGGUAGUUUCUGAAGUGUAGUUGGCAGAUAAUAUUAUUUUUAAUUUUGUUGUACUUUUAUGUACAAGAUGGCGGCUGGCAUAAGCCGGCUCAUUAACCUAGAUCUAAUGUGUAUUGUUGUGACUUUUAUCUGAUGUUAUCUAGAUCUGUUUAUUGUCUACCCAGCCUGUGUGGGUUGUGGCGUAGACUUGACCUAAAAUUUUGUGGCUUUUAUUAGCUACAUGGAGGCUAAUUACUAAUAUGUAAUUACCUCAUGUCUCUAGGUCGGUUUGUGUACUAGACUAGGUCUAGUCUAGCUUUUUUAAACUUUUUACUAUUUUUUAACGUUUUUAUGUAUUGAUUUUUGCAGGCUAUCCUUACUGCAGUACUGCUGUUGUUAGUCUACUGCCUGUAGGCUGUUGUUAGUCUACUGCCUGUAGGCUGUUGUUAGUCUACUGCCAUUAGUCUGCCAUCGUCUCCUUGUAGUACCUUUUUGUGUUAUAUUUUAUUAAUUCUAAGCUUAGGUCUAGGGUAGUAAUAGUUAGAUAGUUGGUUUGGUUAGUCUGUUAGUGUUUGUAGAUUUAGAGGGUUUUAGUCAGAUGCUGAGUUCAGUUGUAGUGUUAGUGUAGCUCUAUAUGUUAUAUUUUAUUAUUGAUUUAUUUGUGUAUGUAAAUAAAGUUUCUUUUUGUUUUAUUUAUCCUAAAGUAAAAGUUUCGUUAUUGCUUUCUUUUAGUUAGCUAGAAUAGUUUAGCUUAGUUCAAUUGUGCUGUCUGGUUGCUUAGGCGACUCUAGCCCCUUGGUCGCAGACCGAGGUGCACAGAUUGGGCCCACCCAGUAGCGCUAACAUCUGCCUACUGUUAAUGAAUUUAAUGUUGAGCAGCAGAAGAGAAUAGGCCACCACAGCUCGCGCCUGCCUGACCUGCUCACAUUUUUUGGUGUCAGAAGUGGGAUCUGUGCUUAAGUAAUCAGACACACAUUGUUUUUUAGGGAUUAGGCUUUUGUUAGGUGGAUUUAGGUUUUGCUAGGCUUUUUUAGGGCUUGUGUUAGGAUUGAAUAUGGUAGCAUUAGUUUUAGGACUUGGCAGCAGUGUUUAUUUUGUUGUAGGUUGAUAGGAAGUGUUUAGGAUAUGGAUAGUCUAGUUUGUUGUUUUGUUUUAUGUUGUGGUUUCCAUAGUCGGUAAAGUUUUUUAUUGUCGUUGAAGAGCUAGGCCUAGAAGUUGGUAGGAUGUAGUUCUAGGAAGUUGUUGUAGUGCAUUGUGAGGUAGUUAGUAUUUGUUGUUAUGGGUUAGUGUUAGGGUUGCUAGGUUAGGUUAGGUUGGCAGAAUGGCAGCAGCGGCAGGAAGGAUGCAGCGGUCCCAGGCUGAAGUUGAGGGGCCUCGGAAUGGCAUGAUCCGAGGACAAGUCUGCAGCUCUCCCAUGCCUUCGGAGAGAUGUCAGCCCAAUGUUAACGGAUGGCGAGAUGACAGUUGAAGUCUGGACUGAUGUGUCAUCGCCAAACUUUGUUAUUGAAUGUGUUAAGCGAUACUACCAAAACUUAGACAGUUCCAGCACGGGUUUUUUUGCAAGUAGCCAUGUACUGGACUGACAGAGGUGCCCCACUUCCACCUCUGUGUUAUAAACAACUGGACCAGUUUGUCCAUUAGGACGACUGUCCGCCCAGUUGCAACGUAUGGUUUAAUGGCCCUCACAUCUUGAGGUCGCCACUGAAGAAAGCCUUCCACGUCAUCUUUCUGUAAACCACAUGGAUUUCGCUCCUCACUUACUGGGUGUCCUGUGUCAGCCGCUGGUCAUCUCUACUGGACAGCGGUGGUGGACCGGCCAGAGAUGUAGAAGUCGUCAAGAGCAGAGCAAACCUGUCGUGUCUUUUUCCCUUUUAUUAAAUGUUUUUUAUAUGUUCUUAUCACACUGUUCAUUGUGUGGCUCCUUUUAUACUUUGACUUGUUUUAAUGUAUUUAUGCAUAUUAUUUUUAAUUUGUAUUUAUGCUUUGAUGUAUUUUGUAUAAUGAUUUUUUUAUUUUUGUAUAUUUCAUGCUUGCUCUACUAAUGGUUUUGCAACCUAGUAGAUAUUUUUUUAAAGUCUUUAUUGGGCUUUCAAUAGCCAAUAUUGAGCUUAGGUUGUUGGUCGCUGGUGUGCAUUCUUCUAGUCAUG
Molecule: long non-coding RNA, 2245 nt
Organism: Biomphalaria glabrata
Lineage: Eukaryota; Metazoa; Mollusca; Gastropoda; Planorbidae
Exons: 3
Source: RefSeq, a predicted model, not a curated record